GAUGAACGCUGGCGGCGUGCCUAAUACAUGCAAGUCGAGCGAACAGACGAGGAGCCUGCUCCUCUGACGUUAGCGGCGGACGGGUGAGUAACACGUGGAUAACCUACCUAUAAGACUGGGAUAACUUCGGGAAACCGGAGCUAAUACCGGAUAAUAUAUUGAACCGCAUGGUUCAAUAGUGAAAGACGGUUUUGCUGUCACUUGUAGAUGGAUCCGCGCCGCAUUAGCUAGUUGGUAAGGUAACGGCUUACCAAGGCAACGAUGCGUAACCGACCUGAGAGGGUGAUCGGCCACACUGGAACUGAGACACGGUCCAGACUCCUACGGGAGGCAGCAGUAGGGAAUCUUCCGCAAUGGGCGAAAGCCUGACGGAGCAACGCCGCGUGAGUGAUGAAGGUCUUCGGAUCGUAAAACUCUGUUAUUAGGGAAGAACAAAUGUGUAAGUAACUAUGCACGUCUUGACGGUACCUAAUCAGAAAGCCACGGCUAACUACGUG
Molecule: ribosomal RNA, 497 nt
Filed under: uncultured bacterium
Lineage: Bacteria
Description: partial 16S ribosomal RNA
Rfam family: Bacterial small subunit ribosomal RNA
Source: RNAcentral